RNAcentral lists this long non-coding RNA (393 nucleotides) under Nicotiana benthamiana. RNAcentral describes it as "long non-coding RNA (NBEN_LNC036771)". The record is from RNAcentral. Lineage: Eukaryota; Viridiplantae; Streptophyta; Magnoliopsida; Solanales; Solanaceae.
AAGAAUAAUCGGAGCUUAAAGAGAGAAAUAAUAUAUACUACUACUGAAUGCGUAUUACAAUGUGUUAAGAACUAUCAGACCCCCUUUAUAUAGUAGAGGAGUCCUAAUUUAUUUACAAUUCUAUAAAAGGUAGAAAAACUCUCUUGAUUUGGUGAUUGUCGGUCCCUUAUUGAUAAAUGUCGAGAUUCCCGCCGUAAUAUCCGGUUGGUCAUGGAUGUUUAUGUCUUCUGUUGGCUAUGCUGACAAUAUUGCUUCGAGCUCGUUCGGGAUUAUAAUUGUUUCCGAGGUCACGACCUCGAUAUUCUCGAAGGCAGACGUUCUAACGCCGUGUUAUGGCCUGAUGAGACUUGGGGUCGAUCUUCAGCCAUUUAUUGCUAUCUUCCGAGCCUGACC